GUAGGUGAACCUGCGGAAGGAUCAUUACAGAGUUCAUGCCCUUACGGGUAGAUCUCCCACCCUUUGAGUACUAUACUUUUGUUGCUUUGGCAGGCCGCUUCGGCUACCGGCUUCGGCUGGUGAGUGCCUACCAGAGAACCACAACUCUGUACUAAAUGUCGUCUGAGUACUAUAAAAUAGUUAAAACUUUCAACAACGGAUCUCUUGGUUCUG
RNAcentral lists this unclassified non-coding RNA (213 nucleotides) under rhizosphere metagenome. Its description in RNAcentral is "partial ribosomal RNA internal transcribed spacer region". The record is from RNAcentral.